This 204-nucleotide unclassified non-coding RNA is filed under the name rhizosphere metagenome. Its description in RNAcentral is "partial ribosomal RNA internal transcribed spacer region". The record is from RNAcentral.
GUAGGUGAACCUGCGGAGGGAUCAUUAUCGAGUGAGGGCCUCCGCGUCCGACCUCCAACCCCAUGUUAUCCGACCACUGUUGCCUCGGGGGCGACCCGGCCUUCGGGCGUCGGGGCCCCCGGCGGACACCAAAACCCUGCAUCCGUGCGUCCGAGUCCACGAUUGAAUCAAUCAAAACUUUUAACAACGGAUCUCUUGGUUCUG